GCCGAAUUUAUAGACGACAAAGGCGCGGCCGGACAAGGUGUUGAGGUCGACUGGCACGAGAUCGUCAUCACCUCCGUACAGGGUGUCAUCCUUGAUGUCGAUGUAACCUUCUCCGGGAGCUAAGGACAAAAAUAGGGGAGAUAAAUUAUGUUUGGAGCGUCGGAGAACCAGGAUCAUAAA
Molecule: long non-coding RNA, 180 nt
Organism: Nematostella vectensis (starlet sea anemone)
Lineage: Eukaryota; Metazoa; Cnidaria; Anthozoa; Actiniaria; Edwardsiidae
Exons: 2
Source: RefSeq, a predicted model, not a curated record